UGAGCAAUCUGCCCUUCUCUUUGGAAUAAGCGUUGGAAACGACGUCUAAUGCCGAAUACGACCUCCUUUCGCAUGAUCGGAGGUGGAAAGCUCCGGCGGUGAAGGAUGAGCUCGCGGCCUAUCAGCUUGUUGGUGAGGUAAUAGCUCACCUAGGCGAUGACGGGUAGCCGGCCUGAGAGGGUGACCGGCCACACGUGGGACUGAGACACGGCCCAGACUCCGUAGGAGG
RNAcentral lists this ribosomal RNA (229 nucleotides) under uncultured bacterium. RNAcentral's name for it is "partial 16S ribosomal RNA". It matches the Rfam family "Bacterial small subunit ribosomal RNA", at positions 118 to 348 of the family's 1533-position model. The record is from RNAcentral.